This 780-nucleotide long non-coding RNA is filed under the name Zalophus californianus (California sea lion). RNAcentral's name for it is "lncRNA (ENSZCAG00015012426.1)". Lineage: Eukaryota; Metazoa; Chordata; Mammalia; Carnivora; Otariidae. The record is from RNAcentral.
GUGCCAGGUGCUUUGCCUGGAGUUGACCACCUUCCAUCCUUUCCACAACCUGUAAGGAAGGUGGAAUUAUCCCCAUUUCUCAGAUGAGCAACGGCCCUGCCCAGAACUCUUGACUUGCCCGAGGUCAUAUGGCUUGGUAGCUAUAGAGCUGGGAUUUGAGCCCAGGUCUCCGGACGGAGCUCUCCGACCGAGCUAAAAGAAAGGAAACUCCUUAGAACUAGGUAAAGAAACACACAGGAGAACUAAAGACCAUAGGAUAAAGGCUACGGGCAAAGCAUUUGGGAAUUAACAGAAAAAAAAAAAAAAGAGUUCGUGAAAUCUCCCGUCACUUAAUUUCAAAUCUAAGACCGCAUUUACACUGCCUUCUACGUCUGGCUCUGGGGGCGAGGUGUUGGGAGGUGGAGAGAAGACUGCGCCAGGGCUGGGCAGAGGCGGCUGGGGACACCUUCUCAGCGGAUCCGCCUGCUGGGAGUGGGGGUGGGGUGGGGUGAGGAGAAGUUGUGGAGGGAACUCAGUUGUUAUUCAUCGCCAAUGUUAGUCAUCCCUUCACCUCACCCCAACCCGUGGAUUCUAUUUCCUUCCUUUACUCCGUGUUUUGUCCAAGAUGACAGUGGUCAAAUUGAAGCUGGUCCUACUACCAUCACUAUGUUUCACCACGGGUCUUGGCAUCCGGUGGUCCUGUGCUUCCGUGACUGUGUUAGGAGCUGUGAGGAGGUCUGGGGUGUGACGUCUACCAGAGCUGAAAGGAGAAACAUUCAGUUGUCUACAAGGAGAGCUGGC